Molecule: ribosomal RNA, 489 nt
Filed under: uncultured bacterium
Lineage: Bacteria
Description: partial 16S ribosomal RNA
Rfam family: Bacterial small subunit ribosomal RNA
Source: RNAcentral
UUGAACGCUGGCGGCAGGCCUAACACAUGCAAGUCGAACGGUAACAGGAAGAAGCUUGCUUCUUUGCUGACGAGUGGCGGACGGGUGAGUAAUGUCUGGGAAACUGCCUGAUGGAGGGGGAUAACUACUGGAAACGGUAGCUAAUACCGCAUAACGUCGCAAGACCAAAGAGGGGGACCUUCGGGCCUCUUGCCAUCGGAUGUGCCCAGAUGGGAUUAGCUAGUAGGUGGGGUAACGGCUCACCUAGGCGACGAUCCCUAGCUGGUCUGAGAGGAUGACCAGCCACACUGGAACUGAGACACGGUCCCGGAUCCUUAGGGGAGCAGGAGUGGGGAAUAUUGGACAAUUGGCGGAAGCCUGGUGCAGGCAUGCCGCGUUGAUGGAGGAGGCCUUCGGGUUGUUAAGUACUUUCAGCGGGGAGGAAGGGAGGAAAGGUUAUACCUUUUCUCAUUGACGUUACCCGGAGGAGGAGCACCGGCUAACUCCGUG